RNAcentral lists this transfer RNA (65 nucleotides) under Rhagonycha nigroimpressa. RNAcentral describes it as "tRNA-Asp". Lineage: Eukaryota; Metazoa; Arthropoda; Insecta; Coleoptera; Cantharidae. The record is from RNAcentral.
AAAAAUUUAGUUAAAUUUAUAACAUUAGUUUGUCAAACUAAAAUUAUUUUAAAAAAUAAUUUUUU